Molecule: ribosomal RNA, 643 nt
Filed under: uncultured bacterium
Lineage: Bacteria
Description: bacterial SSU rRNA
Rfam family: Bacterial small subunit ribosomal RNA
Source: RNAcentral
CGCGGCCUAUCAGCUUGUUGGUGGGGUAGUGGCUUACCAAGGCUUUGACGGGUAGCCGGCCUGAGAGGGUGACCGGCCACAUUGGGACUGAGAUACGGCCCAGACUCCUACGGGAGGCAGCAGUGGGGAAUAUUGCACAAUGGGCGGAAGCCUGAUGCAGCAACGCCGCGUGCGGGAUGACGGCCUUCGGGUUGUAAACCGCUUUCGCCUGUGACGAAGCGUGAGUGACGGUAAUGGGUAAAGAAGCACCGGCUAACUACGUGCCAGCAGCCGCGGUGAUACGUAGGGUGCGAGCGUUGUCCGGAUUUAUUGGGCGUAAAGGGCUCGUAGGUGGUUGAUCGCGUCGGAAGUGUAAUCUUGGGGCUUAACCCUGAGCGUGCUUUCGAUACGGGUUGACUUGAGGAAGGUAGGGAAGAAUGGAAUUCCUGGUGGAGCGGUGGAAUGCGCAGAUAUCAGGAGGAACACCAGUGGCGAAGGCGGUUCUCUGGGCCUUUCCUGACGCUGAGGAGCGAAAGCGUGGGGAGCGAACAGGCUUAGAUACCCUGGUAGUCCACGCUGUAAACGGUGGGUACUAGGUGUGGGGUCCAUUCCACGGGUUCCGUGCCGUAGCUAACGCUUUAAGUACCCCGCCUGGGGAGUACGG